This 253-nucleotide ribosomal RNA is filed under the name uncultured bacterium. RNAcentral's name for it is "partial 16S ribosomal RNA". It matches the Rfam family "Bacterial small subunit ribosomal RNA", at positions 524 to 776 of the family's 1533-position model. The record is from RNAcentral.
UACAGAGGUCUCGAGCGUUAGGCGGAAUCACUGGGCUUAAAGCGUGUGUAGGCGGAUCGUUAAGUGCCUUGUGAAAUCCCACGGCUCAACCGUGGAACUGCUUGGCAUACUGGCGGUCUUGAGCAACCUAGGGGCGAGCAGAACAAAUGGUGGAGCGGUGAAAUGCGUAGAUAUCAUUUGGAACGCCAAUGGUGAAAACAGCUCGCUGGGGGUUUGCUGACGCUGAGACACGAAAGCCAGGGGAGCAAACGGG